Long non-coding RNA from Vigna unguiculata (cowpea), 1076 nucleotides. RefSeq lists it as uncharacterized. NCBI's taxonomy places the organism in Eukaryota, Viridiplantae, Streptophyta, Magnoliopsida, Fabales, Fabaceae. The record is from RefSeq and is a predicted model, not a curated record.
AAUAUAGUAACAGUUCUGAUGUGAUAAUCAAGCAAAUGUCUUUAAUACUUUAUGGAAGAUUGAAAACUAAACAAGGACAGAAAAGGCCUUGUCUUUUAUUUGUUGCUUUCUUAUAUGGAAGGAUUCAUCUUGGUGUUUUGCUAGAAAUCAUUGCAUUAUUUUUUUAAGGGCAUAGUUCACACAUAUAAAAUGGAGGGUGCAAGGAAGAGAAAGCUAGCAAUCUGCUCCAGAAAAUGGGGAACUGGAAGAAGGGUUGGAGGUACUUCAAGAGGAUGUCUAUCUACCCAAUUAAGAGUAUCCUUCUGAAAGUCACUUCAAACUUCAUGUUCAAAUCUAAAGGACACAGAAAUGGACUUCUGAAUCUUUAUAAAGAUAUGGAGUCUUGUGGAGAAUACUCAGAUAUCCAAGUUAUGUGGAAGAUGAUUGAGUCUUCCUCUCCUCAAAACACAAGUAACAAGAAAAGAAUCAACAUGUCUUCAUAUUGUUGUGUGGUUAUUUAAAUGGUGAUGAUUUUUUCUUGACGGAUGGAUGAGUCCAAAGGUUUAAUGAAAGAGUAUCAUAGGUAGAUAGAUGUAUGAGAAAGGGGAAUCAAAUUUUCUUCGAGUUCCACUCCUUCAGCGUCUACUUUUGAAUUAUUCAGUAUCAGCUGAGUUUUAGUCUAUAUUUUGGGUCUACAUUUCAGAAGUAAAGGUCUGCAUUAGAGUUUGUAAAUUCAAGUUGCAUACUAUAUAGUUUUAAAGCAACCCUGAUGUUGCUUUCAUUUGAAACCUAGUGUGGGAAUUACUAAACAGGAAACCAAAACAUAUCACCAAAUUAUGUUUUGUAGGACAAAUAUAGUUCAACAAAACAGAUGAACAGAAACCAAAAAAUAGCCCAAAGCAUUGCCAUCCAUUUCCUUCAGAAAAGUAGAGCUGCUCCAUAAAAGAUGCAGAAAUCACAUAAACUACGCAUUCUUCUGAAUGCCAGCGUGAUAUAUCAAGUUAAUAUUGGUGUUGCCAGUGCAAAUUACAGUUUACCAAUAUACAAAUUGGCCAUUUCUAUUGUGUAUCAGUUUCUUCUGAAAACCUUACACAGAU